Molecule: ribosomal RNA, 1543 nt
Filed under: Candidatus Jacksonbacteria bacterium RIFCSPHIGHO2_02_FULL_44_25
Lineage: Bacteria; Candidatus Jacksoniibacteriota
Also listed under: 3 other names
Description: bacterial SSU rRNA
Rfam family: Bacterial small subunit ribosomal RNA
Source: RNAcentral
CUUUGAGAGUUUGAUCCUAGCUCAGGGUGAACGCUGGCGGCAUGUCUUAGGCAUGCAAGUCGAACGGUCGUGCCGCAAGGCACGGUAGUGGCAAACGGGAGCAUAACACACUGGUAAUCUACCCUUAAGUCGGGUAUAACCUGCCGAAAGGCGGACUAAUUCCCGAUGGUCUCCGAUGACUCAUGUUGUCGGAGUAAAGGUCGCAAGAUCACUUAAGGAGGAGCCUAUGUCCCAUCAGCUAGUUGGUAGGGUAAUGGCCUACCAAGGCAACGACGGGUAGCGGGUGUGAGAGCAUGACCCGCCUCACUGGGACUGAGACACUGCCCAGACUCCUACGGGAGGCUGCAGUCAAGAAUAUUCCGCAAUGGCCGAAAGGCUGACGGAGCAAUGCCGCGUGCCGGAAGACGCCCCUUGGGGUGUAAACGGCUUUUGCUGGGGAACAAUUCCGCUUUCGGGCGGAACGAGCGUACCCAGAGAAUAAGAGGCUGCUAACUCUGUGCCAGCAGCAGCGGUAAUACAGAGGCCUCAAGCGUUACCCGGAUUUACUGGGCGUAAAGCGUCCGCAGGCGGUCUCUUACGUUUCCGUUUAAAUUCCGAUGCCUAACAUCGGAGCCGGCGGGAAUACGGAGAGACUUGAGGCCGGGAGAGGCGAGUGGAACGACUGGUGUAGGGGUAAAAUCCGUUAAUAUCAGUCGGAACACCAAAUGCGAAGGCAGCUCGCUAGAACGGUCCUGACGCUCAUGGACGAAAGCGUGGGGAGAGAACGGGAUUAGAUACCCCGGUAUUCCACGCCCUAAACGAUGGAUACUAGGGAUUGGAAGUAUCGACCCUUCCAGUCUCGCUUACAAACUAGCUAACGCGUUAAGUAUCCCGCCUGGGAAGUACGGUCGCAAGACUAAAACUCAAAGGAAUUGACGGGGACUCGCACAAGCGGUGGAGCAUGUGGUUUAAUUCGACGAUAAGCGUGGAACCUUACCAGGGCUUGACAUCUAUCUGCACGUCAGGGUAAUGCCUGACUCCUUCGAGGGUGAUAGACAGGUGCUGCAUGGUUGUCGUCAGAUCGUGCCGUGAGGUGUACCCUUAAUUGGGGAAACGAUCGCAACCCCUGCCCUAUGUUACAUUGUCAUAGGGGACUGCCCAGCCCUUUGGGCGUUGCGCUUAAACGCGUGAAUGAACAGAGGGCUGGGAGGAAGGCGGGGACGACGUCAAAUCAGCAUGGCCUUUAUGCCCUGGGCUACACACGUGCUACAAUGGCUGGUACAAUGGGAUGCAAGGCCGUAAGGCGGAGCCAACCCCUAAAACCAGUCGUAGUUCGGAUUGAGGGCUGCAACUCGCCCUCAUGAAGCCGGAAUCGCUAGUAACCGCGUAUCAGCCACGGCGCGGUGAAUACGUUAUCGAGUCUUGUACACACCGCCCGUCACACCAGGAAAGCUGGCAGUACUCGAACUUCGAUGUAUGUCGUUGGAAGGUAAGGUCAGUGAUCAGGGUGAAGUCGUAACAAGGCACCCGUAGCGGAAGCUGUGGGUGAAUCACCUCCUUUCUA